CAGAGUUACAAAAAACGGUAAGUUUAUCACAGUUUAUAUUGAUAACAUUCAAAUCCCAAUCUUAAUUAAAGUCAGGUUCACCUUCUGUAGUGUGAACUUUCUUCACCAAACAUGAUGCAUCCACUAUCCAAAGAUCAUUCCUGUAUGAUUUGCUAUUUCUAAAUUCGAUCACAAUGACACACACAAGUAUUAAUGAUCAAACUGACAGACUAUAAAUCCCUUUCAUUACUUCAAAAAGCUGCCUACACAGUCCAUUUGCUCACCUAAGUAUGAUCUAUGGUCCAACAGUGUAAGACUUAGCCACAUCCAUUAUCAUUAUUAGUAAAUGUAAUGCAGCUUAUAUUACAUCACAUAUGUUGGUAAAUACCUUUUUUCAUACCUAUAUUAAGUUCUAAUAUAUUAAAAUGUCUGUGAGUCUCCAUGAGCUAUUUUUAAAGAACAUCGAACUGAAUGCAUGCUAUCAUUUAGACUAACAUUGAAACUUUUUUCCAUGUUUAUAGUGGGCUUAUUAAAAGGGUUGUUCAUGACUUGAAUUGUUACAUUGUAUAAGUUCAGUUUCUUGAAUUUAAUUCUAGAAUUCUGUAAACAUAUUCUUCCUGUUGAUUAUUGUAACAGUAAAAUAUUAAUUUCCAACUUUUGACUUUUCUGGGUGCUACAAGAUAGGAACUCUAAAAUACUACUGUACAGAAUACUUAGAGUUUGGCUAUAUCUUAGUUACUUGAUUGUUAGCAAUUCAAGAUGACAUAUUGAUUUCUGUUGACUUGACACUUUUAAGGUGCUUUGUAAUAUUUUUCUUAGAUUAUUUUAGCAUAUUGAAUUUUUAAAGACUGCCAUAUAAGUUGGAAGUUUGGUGUAAUAAAACCUCAAUGUAUCAGGACUACUUUAGAGUUAAGUGCAAUGUGAAGUAACAAGCUCAAGUAGAUUAUUCAUCUGUUGUUUGCUGGAGAAAUUGUGACGAAAUGCAGGACAUAGGUAUGCUACAUAGAUGGCAUUUAUAGCUGGUAGAAGGGCUGUUUAAUCCAUAUGUUUUACAAUAUAUGGAUAGGUCACAUGUCAUUGACAGUUUUUUCAUGGUUUAACAUGACCCCAUAAAAAGCUGUAUUGGUUAUUUUAUAUUGUUUUAUGAUUAAAAGACAACUACAUUUGUUAAUAGAAUUUACCAUUGGGACAUAUAAAUAUUCAUAGUGAUGUUAAACAGACAAUACAAUGGCCAAAAGGGAAAAUGAUGAAAAGACAAACAAUUAACUUUCCACAAAACAAUACAUAUUUAUAACUGAGCAACAUGAAACACAACCAACUUGGGGAGGAUAUCAUGUGCUCAGGAAGUGUAAAAAGGAACUGCUCCACAUGAGGCACCAUUGAUGUUGCUGAGGGCAAGUUAACAUUUUAGAUAAGUCAAGAUCAACACUUAUAUUCAAGUCACAGAAGAGAUAUAGGAAAAUGUUGAAACAGUGUUGGCAAAACUAUGGCUGGAAAAAACACUUUUUCAAAUCAAAUUUGUGAAAAAGAUAAAUCACCACCUCCUCCUCCCCCACUCCUCCUUAAUGCUGUUUUGUUUAUCCUAGCAUAGGCAAGUUUUGAUACAUUAAAGUAAGAUGAAUGCAUUUUACAGUUUUGUUUACAGUUGCUUGUGGCCAUUUAAAGAGUCCUUGAUAUUUGAAGGUUAUGAUUAUUUUUUCAGUAGAGUGAUUAUAUUAACUAGAUAAUGGGCAUCUUAACAUUUUCAUUGAGAUUUUAGUGAGUAGGAUACAGCUGAAACAGAUUCUUGACAACGCCUGAAACAUAAAUUGUUCAAUUGAUAAUAUGAAAUAUGGUAGACAUUCAUUUAAAAAGAUGUAUAUGCCCAGUGGUAAACAAAAUUUUAUAAGAAAAUGACUGACAAUAUUCGUAGGAGGAUUGCAAUAAUGUUAAUUUAUGACUUCAUAGGUUAAUCUUACUUUAAAUUAACCUUUAGAAGCAUUCUAUACACAGAAUUCACCAGUUUUCUUAGAAACCCAUUAUUUCAAAAUUUUAUUAGUAUUUUUAUAACUAAAUACAUGUUAGCAAUUUGUUGGUUUAUAAAUCUCCAUGCCUUACUGACUUGAGUGUUAGUAGCUUUUCCUUAUAAGUUGUUUUCUGUUUUGUAUUGCCCUGGGGAUUCACAACAAUUUGACAUUCUUUGUAAUAUGUGUGCUUUUAUUUCUCUUAUUUAUCUCAAGUUUCUUUCAACCUUUGACAGAUCACUAAAACAGUGUGGGGUUUUUGAUCAUGGUUGAAGGCCAAACAUUCCACUUUAGUUGUUUACAUUAUUGUAAUGUUGGUCUUUUGUGGAUAUUUGUCUCAUUGGCAGCUAUACUACAUGUCCUUAUUAUUAUUUGCCAAUUGUUUAUAGUGAAAAUUAAACAUAAUUUUCAGUACUUUUAAAAUUGACAAAUUACAUGUAAUUAGACUAUGUGAUUUUGUAGGAAGAGAGUGCUAUUUUAUGAAGACAUAUUUAGAAAAAGCAGUUUUUUGUACAUUUUUUCUGUCAGCUUUGCCAAGAAGCUUAGUGGUUACCAGUCAUUACUGUUAUUUCCUGUCUAGCACAUCAAUUUCAUUAUAUAAAGAGAUGUCUACAUAUUUGGGAACAGUCUGAUGACUGACUUUAAUCGGUUGUAAAUGACUUGAUUGUAAUCAGUAUUGACAACACAUUGCCAUAUUUCAUAGGAUUUUGUUCCAUAAAUGGCAGCAGAAGUAGGCUUAACUCAAAGGUUAGCUUAACUCCUGGAUUCUCUGACAUUAUCAAAUGAUCAAGAAAAAUGUGAAAAAAGAUUUGUCGGUUGACAGCAGUAUAAGAUUUCCUUGUACUUUCAUAUUUAAGUACAUUUGAUUUCCUUGUACUUUCCUGUUUAAGUAAUUUCCAUGGAUUUUGACUAAAUUAUUUUGCAGCUUAUUAAUAAUUGAAAUGAGGGUAUUAUAGAAAUGUAGAUUUUAUGCUAAUAAUAUCCACUGUUGUGCACUUUUAGGAUUGAAAUUGAAUUCUUCAUCAACAAUGAAUGUGGGUGUCUUUGUAAUUUCCUCUAGUUUUAAAUAAGAAUUAUCUGUAUUUAAAGUUUAUUAUUAUAUUGUUUUUCAUUUAAAUAUGUUUAGAAUUUAUUAGCACAGUUCCUGUUUGUUGAGGUUAUUAUGUUAUUCUAUGUACUUUUAAAGUCUGUAAAAAGUAGGUAAAUCAGUUGUUUCUAAGAAAAUGCUGUUAAUAUUGAAGUUAAGUUAUUUACAAAUAUUUAAACUUCUUAGAUACAAAACAUUUUUUUCUAAAAUUAUAGUUGUCUGUCACCAUGAUUGUAAGGAAUUUACAUAUUGUCUGCAAAACACAUACCAAUCAGGAAACUGCAGUCUUUGACAAGAAAAACUUCUUAUUAUUUGUUUAACAGCUUGUUUCUUCCUUUUCUGCUGUAAUUAUCAUUUCUAAUGCAUGAACUUUAUUGGUGGCUAAUUUUACAACAGCAAGUCUACAUUUUGGUUUUGUAAGAAUGCAAGUCAAUUUUGUGACAUGUUUAUAGUAGAAAGACAUUAAAAUGAGUGUUUUUUUUUUAUUAUUUUUAGCUCACCUGGCCCAAAGGUCCAGUGAGCUUUUCUCAUCACUUGGCGUCUGUCGUCCGUCAUCGUCGUUAACGUUUACAAAAAUCUUCUCCUGAAGCUGAACUGGGCCAAAUUUAACCAAACUUGGCCACAAUCAUCAUUGGGGCAUGUAGAUUAAAAAAUGUGUUUGGUGACCCGGCCAACCAACCAAGAUGGCUGCCAUGGCUGAAAAUAGAACAUGAGGGUAAAAUGUAGAUUUUGGCUUAUAUCUAUUAAACCAAAGGGCCAGUGAGCUUUUCUCAUCACUUGGCGUCCGUCGUCCGUCAUCGUCGUUAACGUUUACAAAAAUCUUCUCCUCUGAAACUACUGGGCCGAAUUUAACCAAACUUAGCCAAAAUCAUCAUAAGGGCAUGUAGUUUAUGUAGGUGACCCGGCCAACCAACCAAGAUGGCCGCCAUGGCUAAAAAUAGAACAUAGGGGUAAAAUGUAGAUUUUGGCUUAUAUCUCUAAAACCAAAGCAUUUAGAGCAAAUCUGGGGUAAAAUUGUUUAUCAGGUCAAGAUCUAUCUGCCCUGAAAUUUUCAGAUGAAUCGGACAAGCGGUUGUUGGGUUGCUGCCCCAGAAUUGGUAAAAAUUAUCAGUUGACCCCUUAAGGAGUUAUUGCCCUUUAUAGUCAAUUUUUGUAAAUUUUUGUUAUCUUCUACAAAAAUCUUUUCCUCUGAAACUACUUAGACAAAUUUAACCAAACUUGUCCACAAUCAUCAUUAGGGUAUUUAGUUUAAAAAAUGUGUCCGAUAACCCUGCCUGCUAACCAAGAUGGCCAACAUAGCUACAAAUAGUACAUAGGGUAAAAUGCAGUUUUUGGCUAAAAUCUCAGAAACCAAAGCAAUAUUUAAAGCAAAUCUGACGAGGAUAAAUUUGUAAGUUUGGUUAAAGUUUAUCUGCCCUGAAAUUUUCAGACCAAUCAGGCAACCCGUUAUUGGGUUGCUGCCCCGCAAUUGGUAAUUGUCAGAAAAUUUUGCAGCUUUUGGUUAUUAUCUUGAAUAUUAUUAUAGAUAGAGAUAAACUGUAAACAGCAAUAAUGUACAGCAAAGUAAGACCUACAAAUAAGUCAACAUGAUCAAAAUGGUCAAUUAACCCCUUAAGGAGUUAUUGCCCUUUAUAGUCAUUUUUAACAAUUUUCAUAAAUUUUGUAAAUUUUGUAAAUUUUUAUUCGUUUAUGAUAUGCACAUAGACCAAGGUGAGUGACACAGUCUCUUUACUAAAGAGCCUCUAGUUUCUAUCCCUUGAGUUUUUAAAAAAAAAAAUGCUUUAUAAUCUUUGUCAUUAGACUCUGAAGGAUAGUUCACAAUCAUAUCACAUCUCAUUAUUUUUUUAUACUGAAAAUCCAUGUGAGCUAUUUCCAUUGCCUAAAUCAUUGUCCUCUGUCUGUCUUAGCAAAAAUGAGAAGUAUUCUCCCUAAUUAAAUGUCAAAUGGUACGAGUGCUCCCUGUGGUAUUCUGUAUAAAAAUUGCAUCCCAGCCUCCUAGGGAUAUGGUAUAUCAACAAACAUGGCUACUGUUGUUCAAAAUUAAAUGUCUGGGGUAAAAUUCAGUUUUGUUUUUGGCUUACAUCUUUUAAACUAAAGGAGUUAAAGCAAAACUGUCAAAGAAUAAUUUGAUGGUUAGGCCAAAUAAAAAUAUAUGUGUGGUUCCAGUAACCCUACCUUCCCUACUUUUUCGGCUUAAAAAUAGCCUACCCUUAAGAUUUUAUUGUCAUUUUUCAUUAAGCACUGUUAAAGUCAGAAUGUUGCUCCCAUAGACUCAAUGUAAAAAAAACAACAUAAAAUAAAAAAAAAUCCCUACCUACCUGGAACCACAAAUACUAUUUUAUUUGGCCUUAGCUUGUAUUGUGAAACCAUAUAUAUGACCUUCACAUACCUGUCAACCUGUGACGAUGAAAAUGCAGGUCAUGACCUGCAUUGAAGAAUCAAAUCUCAGGUCAUAACACGUACGAACUUUUUCGAGCUGAAUUUCAGUAUUUAUGGUACAUUUUCUUAUAAUGUAUAUCAAAGAUACCAAAACAUCAAUGCAUGUUCACUUUGUUAAGUCAUUUUAAAUCUUAUUCAAUAUUAUUUCAUUGCACUUUUAAAAUUUUUUAUUAAUUUGUGUAACUCAGUCUUAUGUGCUUUACUUUUUGAGAAAAAAUACUACAAUCAUCAAACACUAGAAUUUAAUGUAAUUCUUAAAUGUUUGAGACUAUUGACUUUGUAUAGCCUUUAACCAUAAUAUUUUUCAUUUAACAAGGAAAUUAGACUAUGAUAAAAUAUAGUAAUACAAAUGUACAGUUAAAGGAAGUAUAAAUGUAAAAAAUAAUUUUCAACUUUUUUUUAAAAAGUUGUAUAAAGGUAUAAAAAUAAUGAAAAGUUAUUUUUCAAAUGUAUUGAAUUUAUAUUUUUAUGAUUUAAUCUUUUUCACCCAUAAAACGUAAAUAUAAGGAAUAAUUUUGAAUGGUGACAAAUAAGGGGAAGUAACUCUAGUUCAGUUUGUAAACCAAUGGUGCAAUUUAUUUACGACCUAAAGCUAAGGUAAUUGGUGUUAAUUAACAGUGUGUUUGACAUGCACUUAAUGGGUCACUUAAUUUGACAGUUUACAUAGCUAGAUGAACUUCCUGUUCAUGGAAGAAUUACGAAUUUGCUGGUAUUUCAAAGGAAUAUUACUUAUGAAAUCAAUCUCAAGGCUAAGAAAUAUACGGGUGAAAUCGGGUCAUUUUCGGAAUUCCCGGGUUAUUUCAAUGACCCGGCGAGUGUUCCGGGUGAUCCCUCAGAAUUGUGAAAAUCUCAGGUCACACCCGCAGAAUACGGGUCAGUUGACAGGUAUGCCUUAACAAUGAGAUAAACCCGUAAUGUAUAGUUGGCUAUAAGUUAGUUUUAAAAGUAAUUUUAAUUCCUUUUGGUUCACUUGCACCAAGUUUCUGAAAAAGUCAUUACAGAAAAAAGGCCAUUAAAGUAGAUAUUGAAUUUAUAUAGCCUCAACUUAGUCAUGUCUUGCUCAGCAAGAAAUGAUGGAUGACUGGUAUAAUCUACAAUUUGCACUUUCCUAAAUGAUUGAUCUGGUCCUUGGAUGCAUAGUAUAGAUAACCUUUAAAUAACUAUUCAAUUUUAACUAACAAAAUAUUCUAGUGAGGCAGUGUUUUCUUGGCAAAAAAGACAAAAAGUUAAGAAGAUUAAUUUGUUCAUUAGAUGUAAGUAAUAAUCAUUACUCUUUCUUUUUAAAUUGGUGGAUGUGUGACAAAAAAGUAAUUGAAAUUUUCUUGUUUCCUUACAAUUAACUAAAUAAAUUGUCAGCUUUUUCCUCCUUUCUGUUAAUGAUUGUGUGAUAUCUGGGUACUGUUGUUAAUUAUAAGUUGUCAACUACAUGUCACAGAAAUCGCUUGAUUAGAACCUUCUUUUGGUCGUUGUUUCUGCUUCAUUUUAAUGUUUAAUACAUUUAGAUGUAAAUGUCAAAGUUUGAUGAAAUUUUCUUAAUUUGCGUUUCUUCUAUAAUGACCAAAUUUACAAUCUAUCCCUUCAACAAUUGUAAGAAAUGUUGAUGAUAUCUAUUUCUAUUCAGUUUGGGCCUUGCAUAUCUUGUUAACAUUUGACAAUUGAAUCAUAAAGACAUGCAUCCAUAAUAAUAUAUUAAUUAUAUUGGGUGAAAAUUAAAAUUGUAAAGAUUCAGGACUUUCAAAAACGGAUGAAAUUUAAAAAAAAAGAUUUGAAUGUUGGUUUUAUGUAAUUGAAGCAUGCUACUGAACAGAGGAAUCAAAGUAAUGAAGUACUGAACAUUGGAUGAAUUUGUCACAUAUCCUCUUUAGCUAGGGCCUUUAUAGUUUAUCUCACAGUAAGGUUCUAUCUUUAUUUUUGAAGACCUGUCAAUAUGUAGAUACAUACUUUCAUUUCAAUUUGAUUACAGUGGAAACUUGUGACAUUAACAAUGGUAUGACAUCUUUAUCAUUGUAAGGAUUUUUAAAAGUGGACACAGUUGAACUUUAUACAAGUUUUCUAUUAAUUGGCCAGAUUUUUUUUGUUCAUUUCUGUAAUGUGAAUUAAUAUAAGGAUUAAUCGAAUGGCACAAAUAGCCCAAAGUCAUUAAGAGGUCAAUAUACCAUCUUAUUGUAUAGAAAAAUAUCUAUACAUUAUAACAAACUAAAAAUUGCCUAAAGUCAAGAAAGCUGGAAAUGUAUGAUGAAAGAUUGUGAAUGAUCUGCCAUCAACACUCGGGGAACUUCCUUAAUUGAAAUAACAGCAAAUUGAAAGACAGCUAUUGACAGGGUUCUAAAUAGUCACAUAAAUAUUACAGAUGUUGUCAAACCAGACUUCAUAUGUCUAUAAUUAAACAAUAUUUUUAUCAUCUAUAUGUAACAGAAUAUACAUUUUUGGCAUGCUAAAUAUUUCAGAAAUUAUUUCAUGUUAAGCUUUUAGACAGUUUUUAGACGCUUCCAAAACAAUAAGUUAUUCUGACUUGCUUCUUGCAGGCAAUUCAGAUGUGUUAAGUCUGUUUUUAGAAAAUUCAAGUUUUGUUACUACUAUUGUUCCUUGCUGAAGUUAUUAUUUUUUUAAAAUAAUUUGCUUUUUUACAUGAUUUUUGUUUAUUUGUAAAAUAUUUCAGAUAGAGGUUGUUAGAUAUUCGUCUGUCCAAAUUGAAUUAUUUGCAUACUGGUUCUAAACCACUGUAUUAAGUAUAGUAUGAUAUUACAAAUUUAAAUGUCAAGAGAGAAGAAAUGUUGUAUCUCGUUAGAUACAGUGCUAAGAACUGCUUUAGUCUUUCCAUUUUGAGAUGAUAUGUAGGCAAAUUUUAACAUUUUAAUGAUCUGCAAGAGUAUCUUUAUUCUAUAAUGUGAUGGCAUCAUGCAUGGUUGCCUUAUUUCAUAAUGUGAAGUGGCUUUUAUGGCCAAGUGGUCUACCGGGUAAGUAGUUCAUACUCCGUUUCCUUACCUUGAAAAAUUUCAGCUAGAAGUGACUUUCAGUCAACUAGAAAUAACAAUUUUUAGACUUCUUUCAAAGAAAAGUAACUAGAAACCACAUGUCGUUUUAAUUGGCUUGCAUCAAACUAUCAUUUGAGACUGAAAGAAACCGUUUGUAAACCAGAAGUAGUGAAUAAUCUCUCUUUUUUCAGGUUAUAUUAUAUUGAAAUCAGAUUUUAUUUAAGUCAGUUGGAAAAAAGCUAUAUUAUGUGACUGGAAGUGACAUGUUCUAAAUCAAGUAGCAAGUGUAACCUCCAUUAUUUUAGUCAAUCGUACAUAGAAACCAUUUUUUGGGGAAUCAGUAGACAAAAAAACUAUGAAAUGACACUAGUUAAGUAACUUUGAGUAAUCCAGAAGUUACUGUAACUUCUUAUCAAUAAUUUUGAAAUUCAAUGAUUCUCUGAACAAUAGGUUUUAAUAUCUUUUUAUGUUUUGUUUUAAAGUAAAUUUGGAAUAUUAUUGCUUUAUACAAUCAUAAUUUGUUUUUCUAAAGGUUUUCAGACUAAUUGACAUUUCUUUUAUCCCAUUUCUGACAGUAUGAUGAAAAUGUAGUCUUAUAACAAAUUAAAUGACCGAGUUCUUUCAUUACUGAGACUCUGUGGGUUUGAAAUGGAAGAGUUUUAUUUUUAGUCUUUUGUUGAUAAAUUAGCUGUUACAGAACACUUCACUAGGACACUACUAAGGACUGGACGCAGAUGACAAAUGGCUUCAUAAUAGUCCAUAAUUAGCUGAUAUAUGAACAACUGUUUACCAUAAAUACAGAAAUGGCAUCCCAUGUACUUUUUAAAGAAUUUUAUUAUUUCUUAAAAUCUUUUUUUGAUGAGAUUUUGUUAUCUGUUGCCCCGAGUUUAUACAAAAUAUAGAUUUAAUUGAAGUUAUUAAUGGGAAUUAUAACAUAGAAAACAUUGGCACCUUGCUUAGUUCUGAUUUAGACUGAAUUAAAUUAUAAUUGUGUUUCAAUCUGUAGGUUGUUUUAACAUCCCAUGUUUAGAGGGUUUUAUGUAACUUCAAAAUGUAUAUGAAUCAAAGUAUUGCCAAAAUUGAAAAUUUGUCAUUUAUAGAAAAUAGCUCUAAAAAAUUGACAUGCUGAGCUUAAUUUUUGAAUUAACCAUUUUGAUUGAAGGAUAAGAGCAUACAAGAACUGUACGUGUGGCAAUUCUUCCAUGGGCUUUAAUGCCACUCUUUUUGUAUUUUACUAAUUUCCGGAUGGCUCGUUUUAUUGACAAAAGGAACCAGAGUAAAACAGUCAACCACCAUGCAACCAAUGAAAAUGUACAAAUACCUUUUCUAGACAACUUAGAACCUUAUCAACUAUUAAAAAUCAAAGAUAAAUUGGAAAACCAUAUCAACAAAAGCCAUCAAAAAGAUACAACAAAAACAAGAAAAAUAAGAAUUAAGUGUUUGAAAGGAAAGAAAUAUUAACUUUUGCUUAUUAAUUUAUGAAUAGAUUGAAAAUUUUAAUACUGCAAUUAAAUGAGUUACACAAGAUUUGUUUCUCAAAUUUCCAUGGUUUUUAUUAGUUUUUAAGAAACAAUAUGAGCCAAGGUUGUUUUAAUGUUAUUAGAAAACAAUGAUGUUGUAAUGAUAGGAUUGAUUGAAAUAAUUUAUGAAAUAACCAUUCUCUGCGGAAUCAUUUUGUGCAGACAUUAUCUGUUUUAACUUCUUGAGGAUUUAAAUUUUCUCAUUCAUUUAACAAGUUAAUGUCAUACUUUUCCAACAGAGAUUGUUUUCUUGCUAUUUCUGUAAAAGUUUUACUGAGUAGGUGUUGGAGUGUGUCGACUAGAGGCAGAUGGGUUUAAACUUUAUUAAUACAAUUAUGAUGUGACACAAAUCUUCCAAUUGUUAUUGUCUUAAGGUGUGCAUUGUUACACAACUGUCCCAGGUUAGGGCAGAUUUGAUUUCUCACUGUCAUGUUAUUAAGAUUUGAAACACUUCCAUCAAGAAAACCAAUAUGGUAGCCGGAUUUAUGACAAAUUAUAAAAGAAAAAAACAAAUACCACACAAACUGCAACCAACAACAACCACUGCAUGAAUUUAAAUAUCCUAGAGCUGGUGCAUAAUUAAGAAUGUGGCAUCGUUAAAUAUGUGUGUAAGCGCUUAAGCCUCCCAAUAUUCACCUUGGACACCUUGAACAGUGGUGUAACAACACAAUGUUAGUAUAUGUUUUGUGACAGAUUAUGAUGUUAUUGUGUCAUCUGCCAGUGAAGCUGUAUAGUGACACAUAGGGAUCAAUUCUUUUGUCUGCUAUCCUUUUCAUCCUAAUUCAGCAAUCCUUGAUAACGGCCUUUCAAAUUCAACCACAUACAGGACAUUGAAAUUGUGCAGCAACUUCUAUUCAUUUUUUUGGGAGAUGAUUGCUUUUAAGCAAUCUGUAGACUUAUACCAUUGACUAAGGGCCAUGCUAUCAUGUCAACCGUUUUAUUCUAAACAUCAAGGAACAUCUCAGAUUCUUGAGAUUGUUUUGCUUUAAAUGGUAUAAAAAACAAAAGGAUUGAAUUUAAACACCUGUCCUAUAAUUUUCUUCUAAUAAUCUUCAUGUUUCGAUAUUUCCCUUGACUUGUAUGCAUGAUUUUAACAACACGGAAAAUCAGAAUUAAGCAGUAUUUAUAUUUUGUGUUUUUAUAAAUUUAGAAACAAGUCAGAGAGAAUUCCCCAGUUUUGAUACCAUGCCAGAGUUCUCUGAAUUCCGAUCGAUAAAUCUAUUUCUGUCAUAUAAGAACUGAAGUGGAGUUUUCUUAUAUGUCACCGUUAUGAAACUAUAUUUGAUAUUGUACUUCCAUAAAGAAAUAGAGGUCGUUUAAUUAACAUUUAAUAUACGUCCUUGCUACAAAUCACAAGUCUAGGGUUUGUUUAGGUAAUUAUGCGCAUGCACAUAGUUUUCUUGACUUGAAGGGUUAUCAGAUUGAAUGGUUGCUCUUGAUUCCCCACUCCAUUGAUCAAUUUGAAACUCACCAGAUCCUUUCUAUGUCAGUCUGCUAUUGAGGGUUAUUGUUGUUGCAUAAUUUUAUAUGCAUCAUUUAAAUUAAAAUAAAUGUAGUCCACAACGUAAAGGUGAAACUAGAACACCCCUUCAGCCAAAAUGGAGUCUUCCAUAUUAUCGCUUUGAGUUGUCUCCCUUCCGUUAGUAACUUUUGCCAAACGACGAUACGUUGAGAAAAAAUAACCUGUUCUGUCGAUAGACAUCGUAUUAUAUUAAAACCGAUCGCAAUCUAAACAGAGGAAUGUGUACCGAAAGGAGUCAUGCCCACUGACCCAAAGGAAAUUAAAUACCCAUAGGCGGAUCCAGGGGGGCCCUGGGGGCCCGGGCCCCCCCUUUCGUGGGAAAAAUUUGGUUGAUUAUAUAGGGAAUCAUUGAAGCAUGACUGGAGCGGGCCCCCUUAGGUCAGUCAGCGGGCCCCCCCUUAGGAAAAGUUCUGGAUCCGCCACUGAUACCAGUAUUUAAAGAGUUAGGAAUGGGGUUCCACCUAGAAUUCAAGUAGGAAAAUAGGUGAAAAGGUACGAAAUGAAAUACCUUCUCUCACUCUCAGUGACUGCUGUGGAAAGUAGACUUGGAAUUGAUAGUACAAAAAUAAAACACAAUAAGUACAUUGUUCAUACACUUGUUUCAAGGAUUGGCUAUUUUUAAAGUUGAAUGACUAUUCUGAUUAUGUAAAUUACAUUUUACGAGCAUUUUACACGUGCAGUCGAAUUAUUUUUGAAAUUAAUACUAAUACAUGUAUCAAUGAAAACAAUGGCAAUCGUAUCCCUCAGAGAAAUCUGCUCUUUGAUUAUUUUAUAUGAGUGACUUUGUUUUGGUGAGGGUAUGAGACCCUUCUGUUUUUACAAGAUGCAAGUUAAAAAGUCGGGAAUAUGAUGGUUGUUUUUGAAAUAGUUCCAUUAAGGUGGUACCUAACACUACAGGGAGAUAACUCUGUAAAGUCAGCUAAACGUUUUAAUUACGUUGUGUAGUAAAAGGAAUCUUAAGCUUCUCAAUGAUCAAAAUUGGUGUUUGUCAAAUUGCUAUACAACCAGUGUAAUUUUUCUGACAAACAGUUGGUUCAAAAAUUUUUGAAUUUUUAUAUUUUAUUUAAAGUCUCAUGGUAAAUACUUUGACAAAAUUUUAUGAAAAUUAAACGAGCCAAAUUAAUUUUAUUGAAAGUGUUGGGUACCACCUUAAUUGUAUUUUUGAUAUAGUCAAGCAUUUGGUUUUAUCAGUUUUUAUGAACUUCCAAAUUUGAAAUAACCUUUACUUUUAAAGCUAGUUAUUCUUGUUAUUACAUUUUACUUUAAAGCUAGGUAUUCUUGUUAUUACAUUUUACUUUAAAGCUAGGUAUUCUUGUUAUUACAUUUUACUUUAAAGCUAGUUAUUCUUGUUAUUACAUUUUACUUUAAUGCUAGGUAUUCUUGUUAUUACAUUUUUUAUUGCCCUUCAUGUUUUCCUAUCAAAGGCUUCAUAAUACAACUUAUAUAAACCACAAAGAUCAACGUUUGAAAAGUCAAUGUGAUAUAAUAGGAAACCCCCAAAAUAUUUAAAUGAAUGUAACAGUACAAAAGAGUAGUAACGAAACCAUCAAACUCUGAAUUUCAUUGACUUAUUUAGAAAAACCUGAGACUUUCUUUAAUAAAAGUGUCAUUCUUAUUAUUAUUUCUUUCUGAUAAAAAAAGAAGUAGGAGUCAUAAUUAGAUUAUGUUAAAGGCCUUUCUCUCUUGGGGAAACCUGAUAAAAAAAGAUAGGAGAAUUAGUCAUGUAGGCAGUGAUGCUAUGAAGUACUUUAGAAUCUUUAAACGUUUGUCAGAUUAAAACUAUACACUGGGUUAGAGUCUCUAAAGGAACAAUAGGCACUCCCUGUUAUAUAUCCCAUGGCUUCACAACUGUGUUAUGAAUUGAUCCAGCUCUUAGCUGAAAAUUAUUUGUAUUUUCUUAAAAUGGGAGAAUUAUUGUUCAUAGAAAAGAUUUUUUUAGGUUAACGGUCAAGGAAUUUUACUAGAACUAUACUGGCUGAAUUUAAUUUCAUGUUGUACUGAGAAAAAGUAAAAAAAAAUUAAAAGUACACUUGAGGAUUGUUAUUUUAAAGUUAUUUCUAGUUUCUUAUGUCAGAAUGAUUUGACCUUUUGUAAACUUAACUGAUGUUAAAGCAGCAGGAGUUAGAAUUUUCUGAAUGCAGGCAGAUGUGGCUUGACAUUUUUUAUGUUAUGAUUUGAAAUCUUCUUAUGUCCUUAUAUAAACAUUAGAAGUGUUUUAAUCUUAGUGCUACAGGGUUAAGUUGUAUCCCUGUUUGGUUUGUCAGCAGUGGACAACAUCUAUUGUAUUAUUCAUUGAGUACAUAUUCAUUUACAAAACUUCAUCAAAGAUAUGAGAUGAAGAGAUUUUUAUUGGUCCCCUACUGACAAAGUGGAAUGGGACUUUAGGUUCGCACUCCGUCCAUCUAUCUGUCUGUCUGUUUGUCUGUCCAUUUGUCAGUGUCAGUCCGUCAAAUCAGUUUCCAGACUUUUCUUCUUCCUGCUUGAAGAUAUUUGGUUUAUUGUUUUAUCAUGACAAGUUACAGGUCAAGUUAACUUUCUUCUGUCAUUUACUCCUUUACAAUAAAUGAGGAAUCUCAAAAUUAAGAUAAAGGGAAAGAUCAAUACAAAUUAGAAAAAAACAAACCACACACCAUAUCAGAGAAACUAAACUCCAAAAAUGGAAAUCAAAAAGCAAUAAUUGUUGUCUCAGGAUUAUAACGUUUUAUAUUGGGAUGGUUAUCUGCAAUUUUGAUGUUUAACAUUGUAUUUAUUUCUGAUACUACCAUAUUUUAGAAUAUUUGUUGAAAUUAAAAAUAUAAAUAUGCCAGUCCUAUUUACUGAUUUGAAUCAAAUUCCAUAUCUGUGAAAAUGAAACUGUAUUUGGUUACACAGAAUAAAAGAAAUUGCAGGCUUUAAUAAAAUUUGAAGUGUUUUCUGGUGUUUAAUUGAUUGAUUUAAGGUUUUGUAAUUAGACUGUGAUUUAUUGUAUAGUAAUAUAUCAGUGUUAUGUUUGCCUCAUUAAGGUUUUACAAUCAUUUAAUUUGUCAUGAAAAAUAUGAGUUUUAUGAUUCAAUAAAUCACAGGGAUUGUUCUGUGGAACAUUGAAGUUUAAACAUUAUUAUGGAGACGCUUUUUACAGAUUGCUAUUCCGAUGGUGGAAACAUUUUCAUCAUCUAUCAUCUCUAUCUUAAAUGAGGUAUAAUCAUAGAACUAUAAAGGAGGAAUAUUUAUUGUGUGAAAUAAAGUGUAAAUGACUAUUAUGUUAUCCUGGUAAAUGACCAGGAAAAAAAAAUGAAGAAAAAAACAAACUUUUGAGAGUUAUCCCAUCGAAUUCUUUUGAUGACUCAAACUGAUCGAAUGGUAAUUUCAAAAUUUGAAAAUUGCUACCUCAGUAAUCCCUGCAUUGUCUAUUAUUUGAAGGAACUAACAAUGAAAAAAUGUCAUUGUCAAUUAUCUUCUGGUUAAUUAGAUUGAUUCUAUGCAGGAGUAAACGAGGUUACAACUCAAAAUAGUCAACUGACAUCUAGAAGUUAUAAAUGGCCCUCAAUGACCUUUUUAGCUCACCUGGCUGAAAGGCCAAGUGAGCUUUUCUCAUCACUUGGCGUCCGUCGUCCGUCGUCGUCCGUCGUCGUCCUGCGUUAACUUUUACAAAAAUCUUCUCCUCUGAAACUACUGGGCCAAAUUUAACCAAACUUGGCCACAAUCAUCAUUGGGGUAUCUAGUUUAAAAAAUAUGUCCGGUGCCCCGCCAAACCAACCAAAAUGGCCGCCAUUGCUAAAAAUAGAACAUAGGGGUAAAAUGCAGUUUUUGGCUUAUAACUCAAAAACCAAAGCAUUUAGAGCAAAUCUGACAUGGGGUAAAAUUGUUCAUCAGGUCAAGAUCUAUCUACCCUGAAAUUUUCAGAUGAAUCGGACAUUUCAUUUUUGGGUUGCUGCCCCUGAAAUGGUAAUUUUAAGGAAAUUUUGCUGUUUUUGGUUAUUAUCUUGAAUAUUAUUAUAGAUAGAGAUAAACUUGUAAACAGCAAUAAUGUUCAGCAAAGUAAGAUUCUACAAAUAAGUCAACAUGACCAAAAUGGUCAGUUGACCACUUUAGGAGUUAUUGCCCUUUAUAGUCAAUUUUUAACCAUUUUUCGUAAAUCUUAGUAAUCUUUUAGAAAAAUCUUCUCCUCUGAAACUACUGGGCCAAAUUCAACCAAACUUGGCCAUAAUCAUCAUUAGGGUAUCUAGUUUGAAAAUUGUGUCCGGUGACCCAGCCAACCAAUCAAGAUGGCCGCCAUGGCUAAAAAUAGAACAUAGGGGUAAAAUGCAGUUUUUGGCUUAUAACUCAAAAACCAAAGCAUUUAGAGCAAAUCUGACAGGAAGUAAAAUUGUUGAUCAGGUCACGAUCUAUCUGCCCUGGAAUUUUCAGAUGAAUCGUACAUUUCGUUGUUGGGUUGCUGCCCCUGAAAUGGUAAUUUUAAGGAAAUUUUGCUGUUUUUGGUUAUUAUCUUGAAUAUUAUUAUAGAUAGAGAUAAACAGUAAACAGCAAUAAUGUUCAGCAAAGUAAGAUUUACACAUAAGUCAACAUGACCAAAAUAGUCAGUUGACCACUUUAGGAGUUAUUGCCCUUUAUAGUCAAUUUUUAACCAUUUUUCGUAAAAUCUUAGUAAUCUUUUAGAAAAAUCUUCUCCUCUGAAACUACUGGGCCAAAUUUAACCAAACUUAGCCAUAAUCAUCGUUGGGGUAUCUAGUUAAAAAAAAAAAGUUUCGGUAACUCGGCCAACACCAAAUGGCCGCCAUGGCUAAAAAUAAACAUAGGGAGUAAAAUGCAGAUUUUGGCUUAUAACUCAAAAACCAAAGCAUUAAGAGCAAAUCUGACAGGAAGUAAAAUUGUUGAUCAGGUCACGAUCUAUCUGCCCUGGAAUUUUCAGAUGAAUCGGAUAAUCAGUUGUUAGGUUGCUGCCCCUGAAUUGGUAAUUUUGAGGAAAUUUUGCUGUUUUUUGUUUUAUCUUUGAAAUUAUUAAUAGAUAGAGAUAAACUGUAAACAGCAAUAAUGUACAGCAAAAGUAAAACUAAAAUAAGUCAGUAUGACCAAAAUAGUCAUUGACCCCCUAAGGAGUUAUUGCCCUUCAUAGUCAAUUUUUAAAUUUUCUUAAAAUUUGAAUUUUUCAAUUUUUAACAUUUUCCACUGAAAGUACUGGCCAAGUUAUAGAUAGAGAUAAUGUAUAGCGGCAAGAAUGUUAGUAAAGUAAGAUCUACAAAAUCACAUCAUCACCAUCACCAAAACACAAUUUGUCAUGAAUCCAUCUGUGUCCAUUGUUUAAUAUUCACAUAGACCAAGGUGAGCGACACAGGCUCUUUAGAGCCUCUAGUUAACUUAGCAAGAUAAGAUUUUUGAACAUGUCAAAUGGUUAAUAUUGGCAAUUCACCUCUUAGAGGAGUUAUUGCCCUUGAAAGAAGAUUUACAGAUAAGCAAACAUAAUUUAUUGCAAAAAAAUAAAAUAAAUAUCAAAAUGGCAUAUUUUUACGAGAUGAGUGAUUCAGGCUUUGGGAGUGUUUUGCUUGUCUUUUGAAAUGUUUGUUCAUCAUGGAUUAAGUAAAUAGUUCCAAUAUGACCUUUAGCAAACUCAGGUUUCUGUCAGUUUCUUAAUAUAUCCAUCACACAGAAGUUCACCUUCAAAGCCAUGGUGCUUGUGACAUGUGAAAGAUUUUAUCAUCCUUUUGAUACAAAUGGUGUUCAUAUUUAUUUUACCCUAAAUAUUAUAAUAAAAUAACAACUAAUGAGAAUUUUUGUUACUUCCUGAAUUAUUAUCCAUUAUUCAGACUUAAUUGCUGCAGAAUCAUCCAUUUAUCUUUGUUAAUGAUAGAAUAAAAACAUUGCACAAUGCAUCAUAGAAGAUGUGAAUGGAUUGGAAGAAAAAUGAUGUAAUUAUCAAUUAUUUUUUCCAUUUCCUGCAUUAUAAGAAGUUGUUAUGUAACUUUUGUUUUCACAUGUUCCCAUUCUGUCAGAAAUGAAAUAUAUAUCAUUUUAUGAAAGUUCAUAACUUGUAGAAAUCCUGGAUUUUCUUCCUUCAAAAUAUGCUCAAUAUUUAUAUGAAAUAAGGUUUAAAUAGAGUUUGCAUGUUUCCUUAAUAAAUGCUGUCUUGGCUAUGAAUGGUAUUGAAAUAAAAAUCAUAUGAACAGGUAAUUAAUUUCAAUUUCAACAGUUUAAUGAAUAAGGUGUUUGGUUGCCUUACCGGUAUAUCCUAUGAAAAAUAUUGCAUGUAUAGUCAGUAAGAUAAUUAUGAAUAAAAGAAAUGUUUGUAUAUGUUCAUAAGAUAUCAACCCAGCUACAAAUAAUUUCAAAAGACACUUAGAGGUCAAAAUACAGUCUUAGACAGUUAUAGACAGAAGUUAAUAAUACAAAGCCAGUCCUAAAUUGUUCCUACAUCAGACUAACAUCUUUGUGUUGCUUUUUUUUUUAGAGGAAAUUAGAUUUGAAAUGUUUUCACUGUGUCUGGUUCAGAGCCUAACUUUAUUCUGAUAACCUUGAUGUUUUGAGAUUUCUAUUCAUUAAGCAAUAUGUAUGCAGAACAAAUACAGUCAAUGGUCAUAACAUAGAAAAUCAUGUAUUAUUGGUAGUGUUUUAUUAUCUUUAUGGUAAUGUAUUAUUACAAGAUUACAUAAACUGAACUAAAUACAAUGUCAAUCAGCAAUAAUGCAGACCAAACUGAGGCUGAGGAAUGUAAGUGAAGGUCAUUCACAGCAGAGGACAUUCAUCUGUCAAACUAGUUCUGCUUAAAUGAUCAAUUCUAUUUUGAUUAUAACAUAAGAUUGGUUUUUAUGUAACAAUAUUGAUUGAUUGAUUGAUUGAUUUAAGGGUAGUUACUUCAGUCCUGAGAAGCUAAUUUGAAAUACUGCAUUGGAAGAAAGGAAUAUAAAUGCGUGGCCUGAUUUUACAUGCUUAGAUCAUUUGAAAUACCUUGCAUAAUGAGUGUACUAGUCUUAUAUAUACAAUGUGCUGAUUAGGUCAUAGGAAUAUAAUUUGCAUUGUGCUAGUUUUGUAUGAUACAUGUUAGAUAUUACUUACAUGUUAGUUUAUAUAUAUAAAGUCUCCACAGUAACAGUAUGUAAAAGAAUCACCAAUUCCUUACACAUUAUUAAGCCAUUACCAGUUACUCCUAUAUACUACAUGCAUACAUCAGAAGCAGCAAAUUUUUUUGAGAGCUUACAAGUUAGAUUUAGUGAAUUGAACCUAAAACCUUGUGUACUCAAAUUCAAUAUGUUGACACAGGACCAGAGUCACCAGACUAAGGUUUUCUUUUAUCAAAAAGGAAUAUCGAGUGCUUAUUUGGUACAAUUUGAUUAAAAAAAAAAUAAUGUUAUGAAAAAUAUGCCCCUUUAUAAAUACUCUUAUCUUCUAGUGGCAGUCAAAACUGCCUGACCUUAUCAUGGUCGCUUGUGACAAUGACCUUGCAUAACCUACCUUUUGUAUUCUAUAUUGUUUAUGUUUUAUCACCGUAAAUAUGCAUGAAAUAUUUGCCACUGGUUGUUUAAGCAAGCAACAAACAAUCAAUCAAUCUUAAUUUCCAAUAUGGUAAAAUUAUCCAUCUUAGAGCAGAAACAUCAAAACAGAAUCUGUGUAAUCAUUAAAGAAGAUCUUCUCAAGUUACUGUGGCACAGUCAGUUCAUUCAUUAAAGAUAAUUACAAAGGGGGAAAAAGCAGCCAGCUGAUGUACCAUUUAGCAAUUGAACUGUGCGACUUUAUUGAUACAAUUAUUGAUUGAAAAUAAAAUGAGACAUGGGAUUAAAUUUUUAUGCCCCACCUACGAUAGUAGAGGGGCAUUAUGUUUUCUGGUCUGUGGCUCCGUUCGUCCGUCUGUCCGUAUGUGGUUCCGUUCGUCCGUCCAGGGUUAAAGUUUUUUUUUGUUGUAAUUUCAUUAAAAAAAUCCUAAAUUUUCAUGUGUGAAAUUUUUUCUAGAUGGUCAGUGCUGUUUAAAAUAAAUAAUUAAAAAGAUAAUCAAGGAUUUAAAUAAUAUUGCUUUUGUAAACAAAUGAAUUAAGGAAGUUAGCUGCUCAGUUUCAAAAUAAAUAGCUUUUUAUAAAACUAGUAUAUAUUGAUAGGGGAUUAAUUAAGAAAUCAAAAAAGCAAAAAAUAUAUAGAUUAGGGGUCAAUGUGCUUGUUUUCGAGAUAUUAGCCAUUGAAACUUUAGCGGGAAAAUGUUCUCUCUUGAUUUUUAAUAGCUUUAUCAUUGAAGUUAAAGUUCUCAAAAACUAUUAAAAAAUAAAUAAGAUUUUAUUAGACUUUUACAAAUGGCUUAGAAUUUUACAUGCAAAAGAUUUAUAAAAGAAAAAUGGAGUCAAUGGGCAAACAUUUUUAAGGCAUUCAAAUGAAUAAAACCAGAGGAUUCCGAAAAUCUGACCAAAAGUCCAAAACAUGACAAGCAAACAUCCUUAAGCUAACAUUACCUCAGAUAUUUUGAAUAUCUUGAUAAACAUUAGAGUCACUAGUAGUGCUUAAAUAGUUGCAAGAAAUUUGGCUAAAUUUUGUCUUUUGCUGUGAAACUAUUUAUUUAUUAAUAUUUGUCGAUUUGGGUUUGGUUUUUUUUUUUGCGUCUAAGUGACAACCAUUUUAUGCUUUUUUAGGACAUAAGAAGACUUGGAAGAUUAUAAAUUUAGAUUGCCAGUCGAGUCAGAAAUCUCAAAUAAUUGCUUAAAGAUUAUUACUCUUUAACACAGAAUUAAUUUUUUAUGCUAUGAUGGUGUUCAAUUGUAUUGUUUCAUAUUUUUCAUGUGGUCUUUUAUAGCCAUCUAUAUGGUAUGGGUUUUUCUCAUUGUUAAAAGUCGUACGGUUGCCUAUGAUUGCUUACAUCCACUUUUUAUGAACUUUAGCAGAUAGUUGUGUCAUUACCAAUCAUGCAUACAACAUCUCCUUAUUUUUAUAUUUGUAACUCAAAGAACAGGGUUUUUUUUGUAUUGAUUCAUACUCUUACUGACUGAAAACAACAACAAAGUUUAUCUCGUUCUCAGUCUUAGGUCAGUAAUAGUCAUUCUCCAAUAAUGAAUACAUAGAGCCUUUAAUACACUUGGAGAAUCUGCAAUGAUUGCUAUAACAGGAAAAGAAAAUAAGUCCUAUAUUUUUAGUAAUCUAUUUCCUGGAGAUUUUAACGACUUGUCCUCCAAAGUCAUCAAUCUUUCAUUUAGAGGUAUGAAAUUAAGUGACGAGGGCAUUCUGAUAAUCAUACAGCUAUUUUUGUGAUUACGAGACUAGACACAGGAUAAGGCAAAGGAAAUAAAACAAUUUUCUCCAAACAAAUAUCAGGCAAUGUUCUUGCUUAUGGGUAUAGAACAUGAAGAAAAUUCUGUUUAGACGUUCAAAUUAAAUUGUCUGGGUCCUAAAAUCAGCAUUAUUUAAAUGAUUCUUUUGGAUUAUAGGUAUCUUAAUUAAUUUUGUGUCUUUAGUUUCUUGUAAAUCAAUCAACUUAAUCAUAUUAAGGUGCUUAGGGUUAUAUUACUCUACUUUACAAUUAUCAAUAACUUCAGGAAUUGAAGAAAAUUGGAUGAAGUUUUAAUGCAUGGUAUGAAAGAUAAAAUGCAACUGUCAAUUAAAAUACAUUUCUGAAAGGCAUGUGACACUGAGGAUGAUAUUUUAAAUACCGGAUAUAUUGUACUAGGAAAUUAUAUAGUUAUGAUUUUCCUAAUAGGAUACAGAGAAGGGAAUUUUGGAAAUUUGAAAAGUAGGUCAUUAGAACAAAGGUUAUUGGAACAAAUGGGUAUGCAACCGAGUUUUGUUUGUAUGAUUGACAUAGGCGGAUCCAGGAGGGGGGGGGCUGAGUUGCCUGGGCCCUCCCUAUUGUGGGAAAAAUUUGGUUGAUUAUAUAGGGAAUCAUUGAAGCAUGACUGGAGUGGGCCCCUACUUAGGUCAGUCAGCGCCCCCCCCUUAAGAAAAGUUCUGGAUCCGCCACUGAUUGAUAAAUGGAUGGAUUGAUUGGGAUUUAAUGUUAGAAAUGUUUGGCAAAUAUUACAAUUACACAGCAUGUCAAUACUUUGUUUUAACAUGCUAACUCAUACAAUUACAGUAGUCAGGAAGACUUACCACCAUACUAAGACAGAUAAAUCUGACAAUGGACCAACAAGUCUUUGCUAUUUUAAGUCCAUGGUUUGACUUGGCAGGGAUGAGCAAUUUGAAAAGAAUAUAUUGAAAAUAUUUGCAACAUUCAGACAAAAAAAAACAGUAUGCUUUCUUAAUGAAAUAAAACAUGAGUAUUCACAAAACAAAUAGUAUUGGAGCAAAAUUGAAAUUAAUUUGAUAUACAUUGUUAUGUGGAGGUCCUUGGAAGUCAGCAUAACAGAGCUGGCAGGCUGAGACUUUGUUUUUUUGUCUUUUUAAAUUUAUUUACUUUAAUUCUGAACAAAUGAUCAGUUUGACGAUCUUCAUGAGUUAUUAUUAAAUCAUUUCCCCUUUAUCAUUAUUUACUUAGUCUAAGCCAGAGACCUAAAACUUUGAUUACAUAUUGGUGAACUUGAUUGAGACAAUCAAAUGACAACAUCGUGAUCAAUCUUUGGUUGCAAGUUAAUCAGUUCUUUAUAUCAAUUCCAUCUUAAGUAAGGACAGAUCUGUAUGGCAAUUGGUCCAAUUUUGUAUGACUUUCAGUACAACCCAAUAUAAUAACCAUAUAACUCCAUCUUGAUCGCUUAUUUCAUAAAAUAUUUGUCAGCUUAGUUGUUAGUUCCAAUAAACAUUUAACAGAUGCUUUUCAAAAAUCUGAUAGCAGUGAGAAUCAAAAUUGCUAAAAUAGAAUUGAUUGAUUCAGGUGAUAUUAUUUGCCAUAGAUUUAUCAGAGUUGUACCUAUCAGCAGUUUUGAAUUCAGCAGCUGCCAAUUUAAUAUGCAGUUUUUGGCUUAUAACUCAAAAACCAAAGCAUUUAGAGCAAAUCUGACAGGUGAAAAUGUUAAUCAGUCAAUCUAUCUGCCCUGAAUUUUCAGAUGAAUCCAACCAAUUGUUGGGUUGCUGCCCCUGAAUUUGUAAUUUAAGAAAUUUUGCUAUUUUGAAUUAUACUUGAAUAUUAUUAUAGAUAGAGAUAAACUGUAAACAGCAAUAAUGUUCAGCAAAGUAAGAUUUACAAAGAAGUAAACAUGACCGAAAUGGCCAGUUGACCUCUUUAGGAGUUACUGCCCUUUAUAGUAAAUUUUUAACCAUUUUUCGUAAAUCUUUAGUAAUCUUUUACAAAAGUCUUCUCCUCUGAAACUACUGGGCCAAAUUAAUCCAAACUUGGCCACAGUCAUUAUUUGGGUAUCUAGUUUAAAAAAUGUUUCCGGUGACCCAGCCAACCAACCAGAUGGCCGAUGGCUAAAAUAGAACAUAGGGGUAAAACUUAGUUUUGGCUUAUAACUCAAAACCAAAGCAUUUAGAGCAAAUCUGACUCGUGUAAAAUUGUUUAUCAGGUCAUGAUCUAUCUGCCGGGAAAUUUUCAGAUGAAUCGGACAACCAGUUUUUGGGCUGCUGCCCCUGAAUUGGUAAUUUUAAGGAAAUUUUGCUGUUUUUGGUAUUUCUUGAAUAUGAUUAAGAUAAGAUAACUGUAACUGCAAUAAUGUUCAGCAAAGUAAGAUUUACAAAUAAGUCAACAUGACCAAAAUGGUCAAGUUCAUUAUAGAUAGAGAUAAUUGUAAGCAGCAAGAAUGUUCAGUAAAGUAAGAUGUACAAACACAUCCCCAUCACCAAAUCACAAUUUUGUCAUGAAUCCAUCUGCUUCCUUUGUUUAAUAUUCACAUAAACCAAGGUGAGCGACACAGGCUCUUUAGAGCCUCUAGUUUUGUGAAAAAUCAAAUAAUGACUAUUAACCAGCUCUAUAGUACUGUUGCCUUAACUAUAUUUAAAAUUUUGUUUUUAAGUGAGCUUUCAGACAUUUUUUUUAUUCUUGAUUCUAAUUAUUAGCUGGAAUAUGUUAUAUUGCCAUUACAUAUUUGAUUUUAUAUCAGUUGAUCAACUUGUAUUUUUUUAUCCUUUGACUAGUGGACAGUCUUAAUGUAUUUCUUACAAAAUGUUUUUCUUGACCAAAUCAAAGAUUUUCUUAUAAGUGGAGAAAACUAUGCAAUAUCAUAAUGUCAUCUGAACUUGAAGUACAAUUCCAAAGCUUUCAUAAGAGGAUACAAAAGACAGAAUUAAUUGAUUUGUCAUUUGAGGUUUCCCUGGGAAUUAUGGCUAUGACAAAAACAAGUCUAGAAAAAACAGGAUUAAAUAUCAGCUUGUAUAAUCAGGACAAAUAGCUCUAAUGGUUCACUUGCACUGUCCUCAUUAAAAAGAUUCUUGAGGUCAGAUCUCAAUUUCACUGUCUUGUACAGCAAGCUUAAGUAAUAAAAUGCCUUUUAGACCUCAGCUGGUGUUUGCUGUCAUUUAGGUAGUUAACAUGACAAUCUGUAAAAUAUAUAUAUGUUUUUAUCAUAGCCAUGCAUCUUUAAGUUUCAAAAUUACAACCCCUAAAUAUUUGUGGUUCAAAAGAAUAUCUAUCAAAAUCAUUUGAAGCUUGAAUAUUUUAAGACUUUUAAGUCCAUGUAUUAAUUACUGAUAUUCGUGAUAGAACUGUUGUGUUUAAUUCUGAGACAGAUUGAAGGUCCCAUCAGAUUGUUCCUAACAAGGUUAUAUCUAUAGCUGAUUCAUGAGUCUCUUAACUCCAACAGGAUUCAUAUUGUGUCCAUCAGAUCAUUGAAAUCAAAUUUGACCGCAGAUAUGUUGUUCUGUAAUGAUGUAUCAUUAAUGGAAUUCUCCACUGAAUGAACAUUUUUAUCGGAAAUAAUUGUGUUGGUUUAGCUCAGCUCCGUAGUUCUGUCUUUUCACCUAAAAACUCAGACAUUAAUCUAAAAGACAUUAGUUAAAUUCUGUACUCUAAAUUUGAUUACUUUUCUAAUUAUUAGUCCCUUUAGAUUUUAAAUUGUGACUUAUUUACCUAGUUCUGUACAGUCGAACAAGAAUUCCUUGAGGUUAUUCCCCUGCAGUGUUUACACAGCUUGAAAACACACUUUUAGAAAUACUCACUACUUGUGUCCAACCUUGGUAAAUUGUAGCAGAAAAGAACAAAAUUGAUUCAUAAGGCUUUUAAGAAGUAUAGCAAUUUUCAAAUAUUGUGAAUAAUACAAGACUAGCAAUUAAGGAUUAAGAAGUUCAUUCCUUGGUUAAACACAUCAUGGGAUGAUAUCUGUUUGGAGAUCAUAUAUAAACUCCCUUUUCAAGUGCUUUUUGUGUGUAUUUUUAUUUUUAUAUUUUGCUGUGCAUUUGCUGAUUUUGUGUCAUGGAUGGAUGGAUCCCCCGUAUUCCUUGUUUUGUUUUUCUGUUAUAAAGACUGUCUAUUGAAAUAUUGAUUGACAAUGGUAGAUUAGUAUAAAUUUCUAUUUUUUUUCUUUUUGGUUCUUUUUGACUUUAGGACUAGAAAUACCAUACAGAUAUGUUAGUGGAAUUUAUUAUGUCAAUAGUUAGAGUUUUAUAAAUGCUCAUUUUCUUAUAACAAAGACCUUUGUUCUGUUAUUGCUAACCAUAUGAUACUCUUCCACAGAGUCAUCUCCUAAUGGUCGAGGUAUUCAAACUUAUGUCAGGUCAAUUGUCCCUUUGAAUAAAUACAAUAGCUAUGGUUCUCUGUGUAAUUAAUUCAUGGGGACCUUAAAUUUCUAAUAAGAGAAAUACAGCUCUCAUUGAUUAAUUUUCUUGAAACAAAAAAAUAUCUUCUUAGGCCACACCAAUUUGAUUCCUUGUUCGACGGACCGCCCGCACCUAUUUUUUUCAAAACAGAAUUUUUUAUUUUUUUUAUAUUCCCGCUUCCCACAUCCGGAAAUGUAAUUAUGUCCAUUUCCCACACCGGUUUUUUUGUAAAUAUUAUAAAAAGAUAUCAACAUUUGUUUUUAAAAUCACAGUCUUAACCUGUAUAUAACGAUUUUAAACAUAAAAGCACCCCACCACACUUUGUAAAUAUCUGUGAGAAUAUUUGUUUCAGCAUGAAACCUAUUUAUCCAAAGCGGGAGUGCUCCGAUAUAAAUUUAAAGAACAAAAAAUUGGUUACUUUCCCCCUUACUUAUAUUCCCUAUCAAAAAAAUGUUCGUUGCGUUAGAAUAAAGUACAAAGAACUUCUGAAAGAUUUGCCUUCGACUGCAAUUAUAUUGUAUGCUGGCAAAACAUAACUAUCCAUAGCCGCUGCAUGUUUAUGCACCUAUCCUGAUUGAUUGAGGGGCCUGUCGUUCAGCAGUUAUCGUUUGUUGAUGUUGUUCAUUUGUAUUUUCCCGUUUAGAUAUACAUGAUAUAUAAAUUAGAUCGUUGGUUUUCCUGUUCGAAUUGUGUACGCUAAUAAUUUUGGGGUCCUUUGUAGCCUGCUGUUUGGUCUGUAUCAAAGCCCUUUGUGAAAGGCCGUAUUUUGACCUGUGUUUGUUAUUAUCAGGUUGAGAACAAUCCUCCCUCAGACAAGGGGUCAUUUUACUGAUGUAGAAAAAAAUAGAAAUACCAAGGAUUUGUUAGUUCUUCUAUACAAAACCUUUGAAAACUUAGAAUUUUGUACUCAAAAGAGGAGAGUUACAUCAUAUUUUAAACAACUUUUCUAAAAGAGGGUCCACUUAUUUUGAAUAAUAUUAAACUGUUAAAGUAAAUGUGUUAACAUGGUAAAGUCCAGGAAUAUUACAAAAUUCUUGGACAUUUUUGACCAUUUAAUACCAGAUAGAUAUAUAUGUUCUCUGAGAAAAUAUGAGCCUUUUGUACAAAAAAAUAUAAUAAACUUAUAUUGAUCCCUCAUAAAACAUGUAAAAGGGAUAUUUAUAUACAUUAAGGGUUGUCCAAAACUGAUUAUGACUUGAUGGAGAAUUGUCUCAUUGUCAGUCACACAUACAUAGACCAAUUUAAUUAUUUCUUGUGAACAGGGAAAAAAUACUUCAGAAAUUAAAGAAAUGUCAAAGUACAAGUAUAAAUCAAGCUUUAAUAUGUCAAAACCUACUAUUUUAAUGUUACAAAAAAAAUUAUAAUCGCUCGCCUUUUUACUUUUCAAGCUUCGCCUCAAAAAAUUUGCAAUUAAAUAUUUUUUUAUUAAAAUUUUCAAAUCGCUCGCUCGCCCAAUUUUGAGUCAAAAUCGUAGAACAAAAAUUAAAUUGGUGUGGCCUAGUAGAUAAAAAUAUAUGUAUCAACUCACAAAAUUGCAUGUGAUGCUGUAUGAUCCAACAUCAAUAAUAUAUUUUCACUGUGUUCAACAUACACACUGAUCUAACCAUUUUUGACAACACAAUUUUGUUAUACAUUUGUACAUCUGUAAAAUCAAUGACUUGUAAGAAAUUUAGUUGCCCAACAGGAAAAGUUUGACUUUGGGUUUUUCCUUUGUCCAGUUGACUCCAUAAAACUUGAUCAGAUGUAGGUAUUUUUAAAGAGAUGUUAGCAAGGGAUUAGAAAUCCUAAGUCAAAUAGAAAGAGACAGCAUUAUGGCUAGAUGAAAUUAGCACAUUUGCCAUUGUUUCUGGGCUAACUAUAAGAGAUUAAGGGAGUUCGCUUCUCAGUUUCAAAGUAAUUAACUUUUCAAAAAACUAGUUUAUAUAGAUAGGGGUUAUUAAAGGAAUCCAAAGAGCAAAAAAAUAUAUAGGUCGCCGUGCUUGUUUUCGAGAUAUAUGCCAUUGAAAUUUUGGCAGGAAAAUAUUCUCUCUUGACUUUUCAUAGUUUUAUCAUUGACAAGUUGAAGUUCUCAAAAUCUGUUAAAAAGUAAUUAAAAUUUUAUAAAACUUUUAUAGAUUGCUUAUCAUUAUACAUGUAAAAGAUUUAUAAAAAGAAAAAUGGGGGUCACCGGGGCCAAUUUUUUCCAGGCAUUCAUAUGGAUAAAACCAGAGGAUUCCGAAAUUUGUCUAAAAAUUCAAAACAUGACAAGCCAGCUUCCUUAAAUGCAUUACUAAAUCUGUGAAUGAUUGAGGCCACCGGGCUAUAGAGGACGCAUUACAAUAAGAGAUCCUUUCUUAGGUAAGUGAAAGUUCUGACCUGUUUUCUGUGUGUACUUCCAUUCCAACAUUGAUAAUCAGAAAGGACUUGUCAUAAAGGUCACAGUAACUUCUUAUUUGUUGAGAAGCACAAAUAUAAGUUUUUCUAUAACUGCAAAUAAUUGUAUAAAAUAAAACAUUUUCAUGUCAAGUUCCAUACAUCUUAAGUAUGCCAUUGAACAAUUAGAAUUAUUGUCUGUCAUUGUUGGAGGAAAAUGGAUUUGUUUUGUAAAGUAACUUCAUUAUUACAUUUCCUGUGUAAGACAAAAAGAUCGGAAGUGGUAUACGAUUCUUCCAUUAUCCAAACUUACUAGUUCGGAAAUUGAAUUGACCAAAACUCGCAACAGAAGUCCAUUAGUAAAACACCUCUGCUUUGAAAGGGUUUUAUCUUGUCAGUUUCACACAGAUUUUAUAUAAUUGGCUGAAGAUUAGUGUAUAAAUAUUUGUCAUUAAAUUUGCAUAGAAGUGGUCUAGUAGGCUAUGGCCUUUUCACUUGUUGUUAGUUCAUUGAUAACAUAUUGUAUUACUGGUUUCCAUUGAAAGAAUGCUAAGUGGAAAUGAUUCAAACUAGUUGACAAAGAAUUGGAAGCCACACCAAACUCCAAAACAUAAUGAACAAAAAUUAAAGAAUAUGCCAGACUAAUAAAGGCUAGAGGUUCCUGACUUGGGACAGGCGCAAAACUGUGGCCGGUAGUCAUACUAUUUUGUGAGAUCUAAAUCUUUUACUAAAAACAUUGUAGUGGUAUGACAAAAUACUGUGAAGUUUAACUUUCAGUAAUUCUUCAGAAAUAAUUAAAUGAUAAAUACUGAAAUAAACCAUUACUGUGGUUUCUUUUUUCUAUUCCAAGUCUUCAGGGUAAUUGGUAUUUCAUGUGUUACUAUAAUAACCUAGUAUCUUUUUUGGUUUCUCCCCAGAUCUUUUCCCUAUAGAACUAAUUUGUAUGUUAUGCUGACUAACUAAGAAGUUCCAUACUCUUUAUUAGCUCCGUCAGGAAGCAAUUUUUUUGUUGAAUCUUAUAUAUUUUUUUUAUCAAAGUUUUAUCUUAGCAAUAUGUUUGACAAAUUUAAUAAGCAAUGCUGAUCAUCUGUUUCUACAAGAGUUUUGUCCCUUGGAAAUAGAAAAAUUAUUUAGAAAAUUGCAUUGUUUAUGCAUUCAUGCCUACAUGUGUUUCCAAUUUUCAUGAAAAAGUUAAAUGGAUCAAAAUAAAUGUGGCAGUUAUUGCCCUGAAACAGAGAAAAAUUAUUGAAUAUUGGAAGCUGUUCUUUUAUUAUUUGGUAGCUUGUAGACAUUUCGUAGUUGCAAGAAACAUUAAAUUUUCUUUAUAUUAAAGGAAUAUUGUGUCUGUUAUUAUAUAGUCUUCAAGUAAGGCAAUGUUUAAUUUUGACAUAUAAUUUCUCUAUAAAUAAUUGAUAUCUCGAUAUUUUGAUACAUUGAUUAUCAUAUAAUAAUAUGAUUGUUUUUUUCAUAUUUCCAAAUCUUUCAAUAAUUUCCGCCGAAUGCUUUUUUCCCUUUGUUAUAAUAUCCAAAGUUGGAGAUUGUUUUUUCUGGUAUAUCAAAUUAAGCAAAUUUAUAUUUCAAAUUAGAAAAAAAUCUUCAAUAUAUUAUUUUCUAUGGCAGUUUCUGCCUCAAGAUAUAUCAGCUAUCAGAUUACAAUUUAUAUCAUUUUGCCUCAUUGCUUAUUUGAACUAGAAGCUAUAUUUGAUGAGUUUGUAUCAUUUUUGUGGUUUUAAGAGGAUAUAGGGAAAUAUUAGAUUCUAAAAAAAUGCCCUAUCUUCCGUCUCCAGAGAGAGACUAAUAAAUAAUGAUCCACUGCAAGUUGUUUCUGUAGGUAGACAGUUUGUAUAAAAGUACAUGGAAGUUCUAAAAAUGAAAUGCCCUAAACAGAAAUCUACAGCAGACUGUAAUGACGAUAAUCAGAACACUAAUUAGUCAGUCCCAAAGUAGAAUAUCUAAGAAGUUAUUUUGACAUGUUAAUGACCAAUAGAUAAAUCAAAUAGUCAGUUUUGGACUAGACUUUGGUACUUAAAUUUGUACUAUCUUAUAUACUUUUAUACUUAGGUUGGUUGAUGAUGACAGGCAGCAAUGUAAAACUGCUCAUCAAAACUAUAUUUGUCUGAUCUUGAUCAAUUAAUUUGAGUUUCUUGCAACUUCUGAUCUGCAGUUCGAUAAGUUUUGUUGCAGGAGUGUAGGACUAAUCAUUUAUUCUAAAAGUCCUUCAAAUCUCUUUGGAACAUGUUUUGUUUGUUUUUGCUGCAUUAAGAUACAAUGUUACAGCAUUGUUGCUUAUUAUGAAUACUUUCUGACAUUUUUUAAUGCUGCAUGCCAAAAAAAGACCUACUUAUUUUGUUUACUGAAAAAGUGAUUUAUUCCUCUAAUAAAACAAAAUUUUUAUUUUAUUUUCAUUAACUUUUAAAAGGGUAUAAGCAUUAUGUUUAUCAGGGAAUUUUAAAAGGGUAUAAGCAUUAUGUUUAUCAGGAACUUUUAAAAGGGUAUAAGCAUUAUGUUUAUCAGGGACUUUUAAAAGGGUAUAAGCAUUAUGUUUAUCAGGGAUAACUAUAUCUGAUGGAAUAAUGAUUUAAUAGUAUCAUGAGAUAUGAUAUGGGUAAGGAAUGAUAAAAUGGCUUAUAAAGAGAUGUUUCAUGAAAAUUCCAUUGUUGACUCUGAUUGGCAGAACAUAGAAACUUAGCUGCAUAAAGCUGGACAUAGAUGUUUUCAAAUGAUUUUUUUUUUUUUUUUUGAUUUCUUUUUUUUUUUUUUUUUUUUUUUUUUUUUUUUUUUUUUUUUUUUUAUAUUUUACAAUGGAAUUCUGGAUGCUUCAUACUUUGUAAUAGUUGCUUCAUGUUACGAAGUUUCAUUACAUGUCAAUGUCCUUGACCUCAUUUUCAUGGUUCAGUGACUACUUGAAAAAAAAGUUCAAAUUUUUUGUAAUGUUUAAUUCUCUCUUAUUAUAAGUAAUAGGAUAACUAUUACCUUGCAAGGUCCUCAUGUCUGUCAGACAGUUUUCACUUGACCUCAACCUAUAUUCAUGGAUCAGUGAACAAGGUUAAGUUUUGGUGGUCAAGUCCAUAUCUCAGAUACUAUAAGCAAUAAGGCUACUAUAUUCAGUGUAUUGAAGGACUGUAAGGUGUACAUGCCCAACUGGCAGGUGUCAUCUGACCUUGACCUCAUUUUCAUGGUUCAGUGGUUAUAUAGUUAAAUUUUUGUGUUUUGGUCUGUUUUUUCAUACUAUAUGCAAUAGGUCUACCAUAUUGUUGUAUGGAAUGAUUGUAAGGUGUACAUGUUAGCGGGCAGAUGUCAUGUGACCUUGACCUCAUUUUCAUGGUUCAGUGGUCCAAGUUAAGUUUUUGAGAUUUGGUAAUUUUAUCUUAUACUAUAUGCCAUAGGUCAACUAUAUUUGGUGUAUGGAAAUAUUUUAUGAUCUUUAUGUCAGUCGCGCAUGUUUUAUUUGACCGUGACCUCAUUUUAACAGUUCAUUGCACAGUGUUAAGUUUUUUGUGGUUUGGUCUAUUUUUCUUAAACUAUAAGUAAUGGGUCAACUAUAUAUGUUGUAUAGAAGCAUUGUUAGCUGUACAUGUCUGCCUGGCAUGGUUCAUCUGACCUUGACCUCAUUUUCAAGGUUCAUUGGUCUUUGUUUAGUUAUCUUGGUUAAUGUUAAGUUUAUGUGACAGUUGUAAUAAAGCUUAGCUUUACUUGGGACUAUCAACAUAAUAUCAAUGAUUAGUAUAGAAGGCGAGACAUUUCAGCGUGUGCACUUUUGUUAUUUCUAAAUAUAAUACAACAUCAAAUACUGCACAUGCUCUUUUAGCCAACAAUACACAAUUAGUAGAAUAUAAAACAAGACAAGAGUCAUAAAUGAACCUAUAUUUUUGUGUCUGUAGGCAUAAAAUAUUUAAUUGUGAUAAGCAAAUUGUUUCCUAUUUUAAUUAUAGCAGUUUUAUAGUGGGUGUUAAGCCUUUGCUGUACACACAUUUUUUUUAUUUGAAGCCUUUUUGCUUGAAUGAAAAAAAGUGAAACGAAUUUAUUUGAGCCAAUUAGAUCCAUGAGGAGUUCCACCUUCAUUUAAUAUUUAGAGAUACCAUACAACUGAUGAUGUUAAAAAGGACACUUUCACAGCAGUCUAUUCCUAGCUGGAAAUUAUUUCUUGUCAUGCAAGCUAGUGGUCAUUGACUUGGGUUAGAUAAUUAGAUUCACAGAGGUCACCAUCCUGUGUUUUAUAAUUAACUUCCUUCAUUCUGUAAAGAGCACAUGUCUACUUUCACUUUAACUGAUAUUAAUUUGUUGUUUUGUAAUUAUAUCUUAACAUGCAAACUGAGCAUUGUAUAUUAAAAUGAUUUUAUAUACAUUCAUUUGGAGUUUGGUGUUUAGGAAAUGGUAGAUGUAAAUGAUGUGAUUAGGAAAUAGUAUAAGAAUAGACAACUUUUGAGUUAGAUGCAUUUCCGUCAAAAACUCGGGUUUUAGUGAACGUCAGUUGUGCGUUUAGGGGUAUCGUCACUUCCAUUCCAAUGUUGAGCAAGUGGUUGGAUUACUAUAAUUCUAUAUUGUACGAAUUAUUGGGCAAAUUGAAUUCUCAAAAUUGACAAUCAACACUGCAGUCAUUAGGGAAUUGCCAUUAAGUACCUACAGAACAAUCAUUAUUUCUAGUUUAUUCUGCACAAUGACGAUCACUAAGACGCUUGAUGAAUGUUAAUAGUGCAGGGAUACAGGCGACCCCUCUAUCUGGUAAAUGACGUCAUAAAGGCGAGUAUAAUUGACGAUUUUUUUUCUGGUGACGGAUGAACUCGAAAGUGGUCUAUUAAACAAUAUCUUAAUUUUUUAAUGGCUCUUUUAAUAUAAUGGUCUUCCUGACUUAUUAUCUGUAUUUUCUUAAUAAGGAUUCUUAGUAAAUUGGCACAUGUAUUUCUAUAAUAACAAAAAGACUUUUUAACAGAAAUCUGACAAAAAAAAUUUCAGAAAGAAAACUAUCCACUUUGUACUAGAGGAAAGAUUUUAUUUUAUGCUGAAUUUGAAACAAUAGGCCAAGGUUUUUUCAGUUUUGGUAAAGGACCUGUUAAUUAGGAUGAAAAAUUGAUAAAUUAGGCAAACAUUUCUGUAAAAAAACCCAGAUAUUUCCUUAUCAUUCACGAAAUAUUUUAAACAGAAUGAAUGUAACACACAUGCUUCUUGGAGAGCUUUGGGCUUUUGUAAUCUUGAUAAUACAAAAUGUAUAAUAUAUUCAUCAUAGUUUAAAUUUGAAAUAAUGCAGAAUUCAAAAUGUUUUUUUAAGGAAAGAAAUCUACAUAUAGAAGUUAAGAAAUUGUGUUUGUCCAACAUCUGGGACAGAAUUGAAAUGGUUUGCUAUUAGCACCCUGAAAUGUACAUCUUGUGACUAAAAUAGACUUCUUGAUGAACAUAAAAAAGUGUGCAAAGCAUGCAUGCUGAUGACAUUGGAAAUGAAAAGUCAUGUGAUCUUGAAAUGGACAAGCCAACCAAUAGUAUUUCUUUUUUGAAGAAUCAGGUGAUCAUGAAAUGAACAGCCAACCAAUAAUAUUUCUUUUAUGAUUUGAUUGACAGAUGCCAGUGCAAAAUUGGGCUAAAAGCAGGAAGCUGAAAUUGAUAGUUCAGAAUAGCAGAAGACAGUCAAGAACAGAAGAAAAUAUGUCCAAGAAGAUGAUUAAAAAGUAAGUUUUCAAUGAAAAGAGUAAGAUAAAACUCAUUGUCAUGUUUAUGAAAAAGAAGAAUUAAUUGAUAUAGUCCCC
This 33181-nucleotide long non-coding RNA is filed under the name Mytilus galloprovincialis (Mediterranean mussel). The record is from RNAcentral. Lineage: Eukaryota; Metazoa; Mollusca; Bivalvia; Mytilida; Mytilidae.